GACGGAGGGGGCAAGCGUUGUCCGGACUUACUGGGCGUAAAGCGUCCGUAGGCGGCCUGUUGCGUCGGUGCUGAAAGCGCCGGGCUUAACCCGGCGAGGUGUGCCGAUACGAGCCGGCUCGAGGCCGACAGAGGGUGGCGGAAUUCCGGGUGUAGUAGUGAAAUGCGUAGAUACUCGGAGGAACGCCGGUGGCGCAAGCGGCCACCUGGGUCGGACCUGACGCUGAGGGACGAAAGCGUGGGGAGCAAACCGG
This 253-nucleotide ribosomal RNA is filed under the name uncultured prokaryote. Its description in RNAcentral is "partial 16S ribosomal RNA". It matches the Rfam family "Bacterial small subunit ribosomal RNA", at positions 524 to 776 of the family's 1533-position model. The record is from RNAcentral.